AUUGAACGCUGGCGGCAGGCCUAACACAUGCAAGUCGAGCGGUAGCACAGAGAGCUUGCUCUCGGGUGACGAGCGGCGGACGGGUGAGUAAUGUCUGGGAAACUGCCUGAUGGAGGGGGAUAACUACUGGAAACGGUAGCUAAUACCGCAUAACGUCGCAAGACCAAAGUGGGGGACCUUCGGGCCUCAUGCCAUCAGAUGUGCCCAGAUGGGAUUAGCUGGUAGGUGGGGUAACGGCUCACCUAGGCGACGAUCCCUAGCUGGUCUGAGAGGAUGACCAGCCACACUGGAACUGAGACACGGUCCAGACUCCUACGGGAGGCAGCAGUGGGGAAUAUUGCACAAUGGGCGCAAGCCUGAUGCAGCCAUGCCGCGUGUGUGAAGAAGGCCUUCGGGUUGUAAAGCACUUUCAGCGGGGAGGAAGGCGAUAAGGUUAAUAACCUUGUCGAUUGACGUUACCCGCAGAAGAAGCACCGGCUAACUCCGUGCCAGCAGCCGCGGUAAUACGGAGGGUGCAAGCGUUAAUCGGAAUUACUGGGCGUAAAGCGCACGCAGGCGGUCUGUCAAGUCGGAUGUGAAAUCCCCGGGCUCAACCUGGGAACUGCAUUCGAAACUGGCAGGCUAGAGUCUUGUAGAGGGGGGUAGAAUUCCAGGUGUAGCGGUGAAAUGCGUAGAGAUCUGGAGGAAUACCGGUGGCGAAGGCGGCCCCCUGGACAAAGACUGACGCUCAGGUGCGAAAGCGUGGGGAGCAGACAGGAUUAGAUACCCUGGUAGUCCACGCUGUAAACGAUGUCGAUUUGGAGGUUGUGCCCUUGAGGCGUGGCUUCCGGAGCUAACGCGUUAAAUCGACCGCCUGGGGAGUACGGCCGCAAGGUUAAAACUCAAAUGAAUUGACGGGGGCCCGCACAAGCGGUGGAGCAUGUGGUUUAAUUCGAUGCAACGCGAAGAACCUUACCUGGUCUUGACAUCCACAGAACUUUCCAGAGAUGGAUUGGUGCCUUCGGGAACUGUGAGACAGGUGCUGCAUGGCUGUCGUCAGCUCGUGUUGUGAAAUGUUGGGUUAAGUCCCGCAACGAGCGCAACCCUUAUCCUUUGUUGCCAGCGGUUAGGCCGGGAACUCAAAGGAGACUGCCAGUGAUAAACUGGAGGAAGGUGGGGAUGACGUCAAGUCAUCAUGGCCCUUACGACCAGGGCUACACACGUGCUACAAUGGCAUAUACAAAGAGAAGCGACCUCGCGAGAGCAAGCGGACCUCAUAAAGUAUGUCGUAGUCCGGAUUGGAGUCUGCAACUCGACUCCAUGAAGUCGGAAUCGCUAGUAAUCGUAGAUCAGAAUGCUACGGUGAAUACGUUCCCGGGCCU
This 1361-nucleotide ribosomal RNA is filed under the name uncultured bacterium. RNAcentral describes it as "bacterial SSU rRNA". It matches the Rfam family "Bacterial small subunit ribosomal RNA", at positions 28 to 1381 of the family's 1533-position model. The record is from RNAcentral.